RNAcentral lists this ribosomal RNA (1297 nucleotides) under uncultured Ralstonia sp. RNAcentral's name for it is "bacterial SSU rRNA". It matches the Rfam family "Bacterial small subunit ribosomal RNA", at positions 57 to 1350 of the family's 1533-position model. Lineage: Bacteria; Pseudomonadati; Pseudomonadota; Betaproteobacteria; Burkholderiales; Burkholderiaceae. The record is from RNAcentral.
GCAGUCGAACGGCAGCAUGAUCUAGCUUGCUAGAUUGAUGGCGAGUGGCGAACGGGUGAGUAAUACAUCGGAACGUGCCCUGUAGUGGGGGAUAACUAGUCGAAAGAUUAGCUAAUACCGCAUACGACCUGAGGGUGAAAGUGGGGGACCGCAAGGCCUCAUGCUAUAGGAGCGGCCGAUGUCUGAUUAGCUAGUUGGUGAGGUAAAGGCUCACCAAGGCGACGAUCAGUAGCUGGUCUGAGAGGACGAUCAGCCACACUGGGACUGAGACACGGCCCAGACUCCUACGGGAGGCAGCAGUGGGGAAUUUUGGACAAUGGGGGCAACCCUGAUCCAGCAAUGCCGCGUGUGUGAAGAAGGCCUUCGGGUUGUAAAGCACUUUUGUCCGGAAAGAAAUCGCACUUACUAAUAUUAGGUGUGGAUGACGGUACCGGAAGAAUAAGGACCGGCUAACUACGUGCCAGCAGCCGCGGUAAUACGUAGGGUCCAAGCGUUAAUCGGAAUUACUGGGCGUAAAGCGUGCGCAGGCGGUUGUGCAAGACCGAUGUGAAAUCCCCGGGCUUAACCUGGGAAUUGCAUUGGUGACUGCACGGCUAGAGUGUGUCAGAGGGGGGUAGAAUUCCACGUGUAGCAGUGAAAUGCGUAGAGAUGUGGAGGAAUACCGAUGGCGAAGGCAGCCCCCUGGGAUAACACUGACGCUCAUGCACGAAAGCGUGGGGAGCAAACAGGAUUAGAUACCCUGGUAGUCCACGCCCUAAACGAUGUCAACUAGUUGUUGGGGAUUCAUUUCCUUAGUAACGUAGCUAACGCGUGAAGUUGACCGCCUGGGGAGUACGGUCGCAAGAUUAAAACUCAAAGGAAUUGACGGGGACCCGCACAAGCGGUGGAUGAUGUGGAUUAAUUCGAUGCAACGCGAAAAACCUUACCUACCCUUGACAUGCCACUAACGAAGCAGAGAUGCAUUAGGUGCUCGAAAGAGAAAGUGGACACAGGUGCUGCAUGGCUGUCGUCAGCUCGUGUCGUGAGAUGUUGGGUUAAGUCCCGCAACGAGCGCAACCCUUGUCUCUAGUUGCUACGAAAGGGCACUCUAGAGAGACUGCCGGUGACAAACCGGAGGAAGGUGGGGAUGACGUCAAGUCCUCAUGGCCCUUAUGGGUAGGGCUUCACACGUCAUACAAUGGUGCAUACAGAGGGUUGCCAAGCCGCGAGGUGGAGCUAAUCCCAGAAAAUGCAUCGUAGUCCGGAUCGUAGUCUGCAACUCGACUACGUGAAGCUGGAAUCGCUAGAAUCGCGGAUC